CGUUAACGAACGAGACCCCCGCCUGCUAAAUAGCGGGGCUUACGCGCUCGCGUAGGUGCCAGCUACUUAGAGGGACUUUCGGUGACUAACCGAAGGAAGUUGGGGGC
This 107-nucleotide ribosomal RNA is filed under the name Canistrocarpus crispatus. RNAcentral describes it as "partial small subunit ribosomal RNA". It matches the Rfam family "Eukaryotic small subunit ribosomal RNA", at positions 1326 to 1451 of the family's 1831-position model. The record is from RNAcentral. Lineage: Eukaryota; Phaeophyceae; Dictyotales; Dictyotaceae.